Molecule: ribosomal RNA, 465 nt
Filed under: Vreelandella stevensii
Lineage: Bacteria; Pseudomonadati; Pseudomonadota; Gammaproteobacteria; Oceanospirillales; Halomonadaceae
Description: partial 16S ribosomal RNA
Rfam family: Bacterial small subunit ribosomal RNA
Source: RNAcentral
CCUACGGGAGGCAGCAGUGGGGAAUAUUGGACAAUGGGGGGAACCCUGAUCCAGCCAUGCCGCGUGUGUGAAGAAGGCCCUCGGGUUGUAAAGCACUUUCAGUGAGGAAGAACGCCUGGUGGUUAAUACCCAUCAGGAAAGACAUCACUCACAGAAGAAGCACCGGCUAACUCCGUGCCAGCAGCCGCGGUAAUACGGAGGGUGCGAGCGUUAACCGGAAUUACUGGGCGUAAAGCGCGCGUAGGUGGCUUGAUAAGCCGGUUGUGAAAGCCCCGGGCUCAACCUGGGAACGGCAUCCGGAACUGUCAAGCUAGAGUGCAGGAGAGGAAGGUAGAAUUCCCGGUGUAGCGGUGAAAUGCGUAGAGAUCGGGAGGAAUACCAGUGGCGAAGGCGGCCUACUGGACUGACACUGACACUGAGGUGCGAAAGCGUGGGUAGCAAACAGGAUUAGAUACCCCUGUAGUC